Non-coding RNA from Aneurinibacillus migulanus, 90 nucleotides. Lineage: Bacteria; Bacillati; Bacillota; Bacilli; Caryophanales; Paenibacillaceae. The record is from Rfam.
UUAAGAAAAAGGCAAACUCGUUGAAAGGCGAGGACGCAAAGCCACGGGUCUAAAGCUGCAUGCUGCAGCUAUGACAGCCGGGUUGCCAAA